GGGAAGCAGUGUGGUUUUGGCAGUUUCUUAGCUGGAGGUGGUCCAGUCUUCGCCUGGCUUGGAGAAGUGAUGGCUGUGGUUUUUGGUGCUGGACUUGUCCUGCCCAGGGUUCAGCACUGCUGUGAAGUCUCCCCUGAGCGCCUAUGGGCAAGGCCACCGCUUACAGCGAGCUGUCCUGGAUCGGGACUCCUUCUGCAUCACCCACCCUUGCCGGGAGAGAUCCCAACCAUCUGCGUGGGCAAAGAAACCCUCUGAUGUGCCAUUGAUUGAAGAAAUUUUGAGGCCUGAGCCAUCAGCUUUUAAAAAGCGGCACCUUGACAACCUCGUGAGGACCUGGACCUGCCUGCCACAGAUAACUCUG
This is a non-coding RNA of Lonchura striata (white-rumped munia), 361 nucleotides long. The record is from RefSeq and is a predicted model, not a curated record. Lineage: Eukaryota; Metazoa; Chordata; Aves; Passeriformes; Estrildidae.